RNAcentral lists this ribosomal RNA (446 nucleotides) under uncultured bacterium. RNAcentral describes it as "partial 16S ribosomal RNA". It matches the Rfam family "Bacterial small subunit ribosomal RNA", at positions 329 to 792 of the family's 1533-position model. The record is from RNAcentral.
GGCCAGACUCCUACGGGAGGCAGCAGUGGGGAAUAUUGCACAAUGGGGGAAACCCUGAUGCAGCGACGCCGCGUGAGUGAAGAAGUAUUUCGGUAUGUAAAGCUCUAUCAGCAGGAAAGAAAAUGACGGUACCUGACUAAGAAGCCCCGGCUAACUACGUGCCAGCAGCCGCGGUAAUACGUAGGGGGCAAGCGUUAUCCGGAUUUACUGGGUGUAAAGGGAGCGUAGACGGUGAAGCAAGUCUGAAGUGAAAGGCGGGGGCUCAACCCCCGGACUGCUUUGGAAACUGUUUGACUGGAGUGCAGGAGAGGUAAGUGGAAUUCCUAGUGUAGCGGUGAAAUGCGUAGAUAUUAGGAGGAACACCAGUGGCGAAGGCGGCUUACUGGACUGUAACUGACGUUGAGGCUCGAAAGCGUGGGGAGCAAACAGGAUUAGAUACCCUGGUA